Molecule: long non-coding RNA, 830 nt
Filed under: Setaria italica (foxtail millet)
Lineage: Eukaryota; Viridiplantae; Streptophyta; Magnoliopsida; Poales; Poaceae
Description: long non-coding RNA (SITA_LNC001001)
Source: RNAcentral
AAAUGCCAAUGCACAUGUCUCAUACCUGCUUCAAGUGAUCCACAAGUCGCUGGACAUGAAAACAUGGGUGCAAAUAGUCUUUCAAAAAAAAACAUGGGUGCAAAUAAUCUUUCAAAAAAAAACAUGGGUGCAAAGAAAGCCACAGGUAGACCGUCAUGUCUAUCUGUGCAGCUGCUUAUGUGGCUCGCAUGCACAAUCAUGAGCUUGCAGAUGUGCGGCUCCAUGAAAAUAUUAUCAACAUGCCCCUAGGACCAGAAUUAAUUGAACAGAUAUACAUCGAUGCUGUCCAAGUAUGAGACAGCAACACCAGGUAAUUUGAGAUAUAUAUACUGAUAGGCAAGAAUUUGAGAAAAAAGAAGUGAAAACAGCACAUCAACUAGAUUACAGGCUUACAGCUAGAUUUACAGCACAUCAAUUUGCUUUCUUAAACUGGAUUAGGCACGUGUUACAGGCUUACAGCUAGAUUUGCACUGUCAUAAGUAGGAUAACAGGAAAAAAAAUAGCAAAUGAUGCAGUAUAUCAACUACAUCCCCUAGGCUAGUACAUUCCAAAGGCACUAGCAUUCUUGCAAUAUGAGCAGAUACAUCAAAAAUAACUUGUUUGCUACUCUGCUCCAUGUUGGUCAGUUAAGGUCUGGGGCGCAGCAUUGAAAACAAACAAUGAACAAAUUUAAGGAUGAUUAUUUAGAGCAUGUGCAAGGAAAAGACAAACUUUCAGUCAGCUAGAUGUCACAACUUUAUUGUGGCAGUUUGUGCAUUUAAGUUACAAGAAUGAUGUCUAACUCUAAUUGCAAUUCCAAUGCCAAUUUCAAGGGUGCAAAGCAUGAACUC